CGUGGGGUAGGGCGCUGGCCUCCGCGGCGGCGGGCGGUAAAAGAGCCCCAGGGGCUUCAGGGAGUAACUGGAAAAAGGAAGGAGCGCUGGAGGGAGAAUAAUAUUUAGCGUUUGAGCCAAGUUUAUAAAGGCCGUUCCUGGACAGACUUGUUAAUCACAUUGAUAUGCUGCUGCUUGUUCCGUGAUUUAAUAGCACCUGUGAAAAAUGAGGUGGCUUUUUUUCAAAUUCUGAACUAGAAAAAUCAAGGGUCGAGAGGAUGCACGACUGCUCUUUUCUAGGCCUCUUCAUCCGUACUUCAAAGUACUUUAAAAAAAAAAACCCCACAACUACUUUUUAAAAUAAUUCUCUCACCCGUACCUUGCCUAAUUCUAUAGCUGGAUGGUGUGACUGCUACUUUCUCUAGUUUUUAUUAUUGUUUAAAAAAAAAAAAAAAAAGUCUGUUGGCAUAAACAAGCGAUGAGCUCAGGGUGAUGCUUUGAACGCUCAGUCUCCAGGUACUUGCAGAAGGGCGAGAACGAAGCCGAGGCUGGACCCGCUCCCUUCCGCGCGUUACUCGUAGCUGUUGUGCUGCCUUGCAUUUCUGUCCGGUGGUGAAUCCCCUUUCGUGUUGCUGAUGCCAGGGGAGGGGAAAGCUGGCCGGCGGUGCGUCGGGUGGCUCCCCCGAGGCGUGCUUCUUGCCCUCCCGCUCGCAGCCCUUCUGUGAGGGCUUUCUAGCUCAUACUACUCAGACCUUCCGAAAAAUCCCCGUCGGAGUUAACUAAAGGCGUCUUAUUUUUCCACAGCCUCACAGUUGUUUCAUUCCCGUUUCUCCUUCACUUACAGCUCUCGAUUCGUAAUGUUUGAGCAAUUUUUUUCUGUUUUCUGUUAAAUUUGCCAUAGAUAAACACCGUGGAGGUGGGGCCGUGAAACAGAGACAAGGCCGAGUCCAAAGGCAAGGCCAAGCCCAAAAGCAGGUGAAGACAGACAAGCGGAAAAAGGGUGCCAGGUCGAAAGGAAACUACACGGCUGUGUGCUUGGCAGGUCAGAGCUUAACAGGCCUCCACGAACAGCUCGCCAAGGACUUUCUGAACGCUCACCUCUACGGACCAGACACCAACCGGGUACAGGCAAAUGAAUUUUUUUCCCUUGAAAAUAAGAAAAACCCAGUUAAAAAAGCUGCAGUCCAGUUUGUGGACAAAUCUUGGGGGCAAGAGAAAAAGCAAAGAGCAACAAGGUUUAAGAAACGUUGGCUCGCAGCACAGAUUAAAACUUGACUAUGAAGACAGCUUUUUUCAGAAGAUGCUAUUAAGGACUUUCAGUAAAAGUCUCUCACCACAGCAAAGGCGGGGUGGUUUGUGGUUUUUUUUUUCCCCCUCCCACUUCUCCAUUAUCACUCUGCUUCCAGCUCCAGCCCCCAGCAGGCACUGACCUUCACUGAGCUGGGCCUCAACUGUCUUCCCUCCUCUCUCCCCUCUGCCUUUCAGAAGUGGUCAGGGAAGCGAAGCAGCAGCUGGGCCAGGGCAGUGACCCCCUCAUCCUCAGCAGUGACACAGAGCAGCUGCUGUUAAGACCAGGCUUGUCAAGCUGGGUGCUACUCCCCCAGGCAGCAGCUUUGCAGAGAAUAAAGAGGAACAACAUUGUACUUAA
Molecule: long non-coding RNA, 1627 nt
Organism: Egretta garzetta (little egret)
Lineage: Eukaryota; Metazoa; Chordata; Aves; Pelecaniformes; Ardeidae
Exons: 4
Source: RefSeq, a predicted model, not a curated record